RNAcentral lists this ribosomal RNA (265 nucleotides) under uncultured bacterium. RNAcentral describes it as "partial 16S ribosomal RNA". It matches the Rfam family "Bacterial small subunit ribosomal RNA", at positions 793 to 1055 of the family's 1533-position model. The record is from RNAcentral.
GUCCACGCUGUAAACGAUGAACACUAGGUAUUGGAGGAUUUGACCCCUUCAGUGCCGUAGCUAACGCGUUAAGUGUUCCGCCUGGGAAGUACGGUCGCAAGACUAAAACUCAAAGGAAUUGACGGGGCCCGCACAAGCGGUGGAUUAUGUGGUUUAAUUCGAAGCAACGCGCAGAACCUUACCUAGGCUUGAAAUCCCAUGAAUCCCUUUUAAACGAGGGAGUGCUCUUCGGAGAAUAUGGUGACAGGCGCUGCAUGGCUGUCGU